RNAcentral lists this ribosomal RNA (468 nucleotides) under uncultured bacterium. RNAcentral describes it as "partial 16S ribosomal RNA". It matches the Rfam family "Bacterial small subunit ribosomal RNA", at positions 28 to 507 of the family's 1533-position model. The record is from RNAcentral.
GACGAACGCUGGCGGCGUGCUUAACACAUGCAAGUCGAACGGAAAGGCCCUGCUUUUGUGGGGUGCUCGAGUGGCGAACGGGUGAGUAACAAGUGAGUAACCUGCCCUUGACUUUGGGGUAACUUCAGGAAACUGGGGCUAAUACCGGAUAGGAGCUCCUGCUGCAUGGGGGGGGUUGGAAAGUUUCGGCGGUUGGGGAUGGACUCGCGGCUUAUCAGCUUGUUGGUGGGGUAGUGGCUUACCAAGGCUUUGACGGGUAGCCGGCCUGAGAGGGUGACCGGCCACAUUGGGACUGAGAUACGGCCCAGACUCCUACGGGAGGCAGCAGUGGGGAAUAUUGCACAAUGGGCGGAAGCCUGAUGCAGCAACGCCGCGUGCGGGAUGACGGCCUUCGGGUUGUAAACCGCUUUCGCCUGUGACGAAGCGUGAGUGACGGUAAUGGGUAAAGAAGCACCGGCUAACUACGUG